This 469-nucleotide ribosomal RNA is filed under the name uncultured bacterium. Its description in RNAcentral is "partial 16S ribosomal RNA". It matches the Rfam family "Bacterial small subunit ribosomal RNA", at positions 28 to 507 of the family's 1533-position model. The record is from RNAcentral.
GAUGAACGCUGGCGGCGUGCUUAACACAUGCAAGUCGAACGGUGAACCCGGAGCUUGCUCUGUGGGAUCAGUGGCGAACGGGUGAGUAACACGUGAGCAACCUGCCCCUGACUCUGGGAUAAGCGCUGGAAACGGCGUCUAAUACUGGAUAUGUGACGUGACCGCAUGGUCUGCGUUUGGAAAGAUUUUUCGGUGGGGGAUGGGUUCGCGGCCUAUCAGCUUGUUGGUGAGGUAAUGGCUCACCAAGGCGUCGACGGGUAGCCGGCCUGAGAGGGUGACCGGCCACAAUGGGACUGAGACACGGCCCAGACUCCUACGGGAGGCAGCAGUGGGGAAUAUUGCACAAUGGGCGCAAGCCUGAUGCAGCAACGCCGCGUGAGGGAUGACGGCCUUCGGGUUGUAAACCUCUUUUAGCAGGGAAGAAGCGAAAGUGACGGUACCUGCAGAAAAAGCGCCGGCUAACUACGUG